GCCCGAAUGGCGAAAUCGGUAGACGCAGGAGACUUAAAAUCUCUCGCCCGUAAGGGUGUGCCGGUUCGAGUCCGGCUUCGGGCACCA
RNAcentral lists this transfer RNA (87 nucleotides) under compost metagenome. Its description in RNAcentral is "tRNA-Leu". It matches the Rfam family "tRNA". From Rfam's summary of the family: Transfer RNA (tRNA) molecules are approximately 80 nucleotides in length. Their secondary structure includes four short double-helical elements and three loops (D, anti-codon, and T loops). The record is from RNAcentral.